This 253-nucleotide ribosomal RNA is filed under the name uncultured bacterium. Its description in RNAcentral is "partial 16S ribosomal RNA". It matches the Rfam family "Bacterial small subunit ribosomal RNA", at positions 524 to 776 of the family's 1533-position model. The record is from RNAcentral.
UACGUAGGGGGCAAGCGUUGUCCGGAAUCAUUGGGCGUAAAGAGCGCGUAGGCGGCCAGAUAAGUCCGGUGUGAAAGUCAAAGGCUCAACCUUUGAAUGCCGCUGGAAACUGUCUGGCUAGAGUCCGGAAGGGGCGAGUGGAAUUCCUGGUGUAGCGGUGAAAUGCGCAGAUAUCAGGAGGAACACCAAUGGCGAAGGCAGCUCGCUGGAACGGUACUGACGCUGAGGCGCGAAAGCGUGGGGAGCGAACAGG